UACGUAGGGGGCAAGCGUUAUCCGGAAUUACUGGGUGUAAAGGGAGCGUAGACGGUAAUGUAAGUCUGGAGUGAAAGGCGGGGGCCCAACCCCCAGACUGCUCUGGAAACUAUGUUACUAGAGUGCAGGAGAGGUAAGCGGAAUUCCUAGUGUAGCGGUGAAAUGCGUAGAUAUUAGGAGGAACACCAGUGGCGAAGGCGGCUUACUGGACUGUAACUGACGUUGAGGCUCGAAAGCGUGGGGAGCAAACAGG
RNAcentral lists this ribosomal RNA (253 nucleotides) under uncultured bacterium. RNAcentral describes it as "partial 16S ribosomal RNA". It matches the Rfam family "Bacterial small subunit ribosomal RNA", at positions 524 to 776 of the family's 1533-position model. The record is from RNAcentral.